CCCGCCUUUGCUGUGCCUGUGCUGCUUCAGGCAAGUCCCUUCACCUCCCUGAGUCUCAGUUUCCUUGUCUGGCAAAUAGGGUGGGAAGAUACAAUGUGAUGUUUUCUUGCUAAAGGGCCUCAGCUGCUGCCUGGGGAAACACCUCCUCCCGCAUCUUCCACUUGGCCGGGCUGGCGCCUAAGGCUCGCUUCUGUCCCACCCAGAGGAGACGCUGGUGGGAAGGCAGUCUGACCUUGCUGACGUCAGCCCAAUCUUGACUUCUAGGAAACAGCUGCACUGGAGACCCCAAGUCUCGGGACCCCACCCCUGCUCCCUGCGCUGUGACUGGUCAGCCUUUAACCUGUGCCUCGGCGGCCGCUGGCUUUGCGGUGCUUCCUCUACAGGUCAUACUCAGGGCAGAAAUCAGAUGACAUUUUAAUCUGCAACUCAAGCGCCUCGUCCUGGGAAGGCUCCUGGUUCUUGGCAUGGGAUUCUGUGUCUCUGGGCGCCCAGCAGCAGCUCGAGAGUGGGCUCCGCUCCUCCUCCUCCACGUUAACUGGCUCAACUUCUCUUGACUUUUAAUAAUGCCCUGCCGACUGGCUGCCUUCUGCCUUGCCUGUGCACCGACGCUGGAUCCACAGUUCCUCUGAGCUAGGCUUCUUGGUGAGUCGUGUGGACUGACCCUUUUCAGGAAAGUGGUUGCUGGGUCUGUGGCUACAAAAAAGUGGAGGCCUCAGUCAGACAGCAGACACAUCUGUUUCCAAGCAAAUGUUUGAGGGAGUGACCGUUCUCCUUUCUAGGCUCAUAAACUAAGCAACAACAGUGACAGCAACAACAAUUUUGUUUUUCUUAUGCUCGUGAGGUCCUGUGGUACAAUGUUGAAUAAUUGUUAAGACAGCUAAUGUUUAUCAGGCACUUGUAUCUGCCUCGAUGGGGUAGUGUGGUAGACUGACUAAUGACCUAAUGUCUCCUCUAAGAUUCCCAUGUCCUGAUCCUUGGACCCUGUGAAUAUGACCUUAGGUGGCAGGAAAAAAAAAAAAAGUCUUUGCAGAUGUGGUUAAAUUUAGGAUUUUGACAUGGGGAGAUUCUCGUGGAUUAU
This 1078-nucleotide long non-coding RNA is filed under the name Macaca mulatta (Rhesus monkey). RNAcentral describes it as "lncRNA (ENSMMUG00000053202.1)". The record is from RNAcentral. Lineage: Eukaryota; Metazoa; Chordata; Mammalia; Primates; Cercopithecidae.